GACGAACGCUGGCGGCGUGCUUAACACAUGCAAGUCGAACGGAAAGGCCCUGCUUUUGUGGGGUGCUCGAGUGGCGAACGGGUGAGUAACACGUGAGUAACCUGCCCUUGACUUUGGGAUAACUUCAGGAAACUGGGGCUAAUACCGGAUAGGAGCUCCUGCUGCAUGGUGGGGGUUGGAAAGUUUCGGCGGUUGGGGAUGGACUCGCGGCUUAUCAGCUUGUUGGUGGGGUAGUGGCUUACCAAGGCUUUGACGGGUAGCCGGCCUGAGAGGGUGACCGGCCACAUUGGGACUGAGAUACGGCCCAGACUCCUACGGGAGGCAGCAGUGGGGAAUAUUGCACAAUGGGCGGAAGCCUGAUGCAGCAACGCCGCGUGCGGGAUGACGGCCUUCGGGUUGUAAACCGCUUUCGCCUGUGACGAAGCGUGAGUGACGGUAAUGGGUAAAGAAGCACCGGCUAACUACGUGCCAGCAGCCGCGGUGAUACGUAGGGUGCGAGCGUUGUCCGGAUUUAUUGGGCGUAAAGGGCUCGUAGGUGGUUGAUCGCGUCGGAAGUGUAAUCUUGGGGCUUAACCCUGAGCGCGCUUUCGAUACGGGUUGACUUGAGGAAGGUAGGGGAGAAUGGAAUUCCUGGUGGAGCGGUGGAAUGCGCAGAUAUCAGGAGGAACACCAGUGGCGAAGGCGGUUCUCUGGGCCUUUCCUGACGCUGAGGAGCGAAAGCGUGGGGAGCGAACAGGCUUAGAUAUCCUGGUAGUCCACGCUGUAAACGGUGGGUACUAGGUGUGGGGUCCAUUCCACGGGUUCCGUGCCGUAGCUAACGCUUUAAGUACCCCGCCUGGGGAGUACGGCCGCAAGGCUAAAACUCAAAGGAAUUGACGGGGCCCCGCACAAGCGGCGGAGCAUGCGGAUUAAUUCGAUGCAACGCGUAGAACCUUACCUGGGUUUGACAUGGAUCGGGAGCGCUCAGAGAUGGGUGUGCCUCUUUUGGGGUCGGUUCACAGGUGGUGCAUGGCUGUCGUCAGCUCGUGUCGUGAGAUGUUGGGUUAAGUCCCGCAACGAGCGCAACCCUUGUUCACUGUUGCCAGCACGUUAUGGUGGGGACUCAGUGGAGACCGCCGGGGUCAACUCGGAGGAAGGUGGGGAUGACGUCAAGUCAUCAUGCCCCUUAUGUCCAGGGCUUCACGCAUGCUACAAUGGCUGGUACAGAGAGUGGCGAGCCUGUGAGGGUGAGCGAAUCUCGGAAAGCCGGUCUCAGUUCGGAUUGGGGUCUGCAACUCGACCUCAUGAAGUCGGAGUCGCUAGUAAUCGCAGAUCAGCAACGCUGCGGUGAAUACGUUCCCGGG
Molecule: ribosomal RNA, 1343 nt
Filed under: uncultured bacterium
Lineage: Bacteria
Description: 16S ribosomal RNA
Rfam family: Bacterial small subunit ribosomal RNA
Source: RNAcentral